CGAACGAGUUAGGCUCGUGGCGUACGGCUCAGUAACACGUGGAUAACCUACCCUUAGGACCGGGAUAACCUUGGGAAACUGAGGAUAAUACUGGAUAGGCAAUUAUUUCUGCAAUGGUUUUUUGUUUAAAUGUUUUUUUCGCCUAAGGAUGGGUCUGCGGCCGAUUAGGUAGUUGGUUAGGUAAAGGCUUACCAAGCCGUUGAUCGGUACGGGUUGUGAGAGCAAGAGCCCGGAGAUGGAACCUGAGACAAGGUUCCAGGCCCUACGGGGUGCAGCAGGCGCGAAACCUCCGCAAUGUGAGAAAUCGCGACGGGGGGAUCCCAAGUGCCAUUCUUAACGGGAUGGCUUUCAUUAGGUAAA
This 360-nucleotide ribosomal RNA is filed under the name uncultured archaeon. Its description in RNAcentral is "bacterial SSU rRNA". It matches the Rfam family "Archaeal small subunit ribosomal RNA", at positions 59 to 421 of the family's 1478-position model. The record is from RNAcentral.